Molecule: ribosomal RNA, 454 nt
Filed under: uncultured bacterium
Lineage: Bacteria
Description: partial 16S ribosomal RNA
Rfam family: Bacterial small subunit ribosomal RNA
Source: RNAcentral
GAUGAACGCUGACAGAAUGCUUAACACAUGCCAGUCUACUUGAACUUCGGUUUGGGUGGCGGACGGGUGAGUAACGCGUAAAGAACUUGCCACACAGUUAGGGACAACAUUUGGAAACGAAUGCUAAUACCUGAUAUUAUGAUUUUAGGGCAUCCUAAGAUUAUGAAAGCUAUAUGCACUGUGAGAGAGCUUUGCGUCACAUUAGCUAGUUGGAGAGGUAACGGCUCACCAAGGCGAUGAUGGGUAGCCGGCCUGAGAGGGUGAACGGCCACAAGGGGACUGAGACACGGCCCUUACCCCUGCGGGAGACAGGAGUGGAGAAUAUUGGACAAUGGACCAAAAGUCUGAUCCAGCAAUGCUGUGUGCACGAUGACCUUUUUCGGAAUGUAAAGUUCUUUCAGUUGGGAAGAAAAAAAUGACGGUACCAACAGAAGAAGUGACGGCUAAAUACGUG